Molecule: long non-coding RNA, 27319 nt
Filed under: Vitis vinifera (wine grape)
Lineage: Eukaryota; Viridiplantae; Streptophyta; Magnoliopsida; Vitales; Vitaceae
Description: long non-coding RNA (VVIN_LNC004369)
Source: RNAcentral
GCGUUUUUAACACAAAUGACACUUACUAUAUGUAUAAGUAAUUGAUGUUUACAAACAACUUAGAUGGAUAAUUCAACCUUUUCUUCUCAAGAACACUAUGGAGAAACCCUCUCUUGUCUCCAACUCCAUGACAUUAUUACAUGCAGAGUUAAUUUGCUUCUCAGUUCUCUUUGUAUACUAGAUUUAUAUCCUUCUGCACAAUGCCUUGGCAAGGUAAGGUCUUGCUGCAGUUGAAUAUUAUGGUCAUUUUUGUUGCACUUGUGCCUGUGAUGUUCUUGUAGACUAUGUUUCUUAUUUGGACAGCUGAAUUCUGCAAGCCAUAGGAUGGAGAAUAAUUGUGUUGAAGGCAGACAAAUGAAGACUUGUGAUUGAGUUUGAAGUUGAUGAUUAGGGUUUACCUGUUCAUUGCAUGGAGUUUCUUGAUCACAGUAGUUUUGGUCUAUGAUUAUGGGGUUGCUCACAUUUUCCAUCUUAAUGUCUUGAAAUACUAUGUUUUCAGCAUACCCUGAUCCUCCCUACAUCAUAACAAGAAAGAAAGAAAGAAAAAAAAAAAAUUAGUUUUGGGUGUUUAAAAAUAUAAAUAGAAUGAUGGAAUUUUCGAAUUAAUUGCUUUUACAACCGAUAUGAUAAUAUAUGUGAAUUAAUAUAUAUAUGUAUUUUAAUCAAAACCAUGUACAUACAUGAGCAAAAAUUUUUAAAAAAUAUGAGAUUUUAAUGUGGUUCAAUGAUGAAUGCAAUUCUUAUGUCCGUGGAGUGUACCAACACUCAACAAUCCACUUAUCAAAGGAAGAAAAAGGAGUACAAUGGUGAAGUUCCUAGAAAAAAACACCUAAUUACAACGGCACUUUUUGAAGAACUAAAAUCCUAAAACAUAAAAGGUCAGGGUUAAAUGUAAAAUAAAGACAAACUCGUCAUUCAUUAUAUAAAAUCCUACGAAUUGAUUGGGACUGAUUCAUGUUUCACAAUUCAACAAGAACACAAACAUAUAUUUAACAGUAUUAUCUUUUAAAUGAUUUUGUAGAUUAUGAAUAAGUUAUAUGAAUAACUAUUUUUAAAUGGGAAUAUGGUAUAUAAACUUUGGAUUUUAUACAUAUUUACUUACCAUGAGAAAAAACUUUUUUUCUUUUUUUUUUUUUUUUUUUCUCACACACAUUUGUUUAGCCUAUAUGAUUAAGUUAUAUAGGAUACCUAAGAAAUUAAGGAUGGUUGAAAACCAAGUCUUACCUGCCAAGUCUUUAUUCUCACUCCAUUAGUGGUUCCUAUGAGUUUUGCCGUAUUCACCAUCACAUUUGAAACACGAGCUUCUGACUUCCCUUUUCCUAAGCUCCCAAUACUUAUCAAAAUAUGAAGUGGGUAAGGAAAAGGUAGUUGAAUUGAACCAUGCUUAUCAAAAUAUUCUUCAAAAAUAGAACAUUCUAGGGUUUUUCUAGUUUUUUAUUUUUAUUUUCGCAAUCAAACUUUUUCACAAACUAUUCUGGGGUAUGAUAGGAUAUAAUAUUCCAGAAAAAUCUUUUGCUUGCCCUCCUUGGAACUAGUUGAGUAUAGAGUUUGUUCAAGUAGAGAUAUGGAACCUGAUUCCAUGACCUGGUCCACAGGUUACAUCUAUGGCUUCAAUGUUUGUUGAUCCAUUUACAAUGGAAAUGCAGUCAUCACCUUCAAACAAUAAAACAAAAGCAUCUAAGUCUCAUGCAAGAUCAGAACUCCUCUGAAUUUAAUUAUUUUUUCUCUUGGUUUACCUGUUUUGAUUACAGUUUUAAUGAUCUGAACAUUUUCGGACCGUGUCACAUGAAUUCCAUCAGUGUUAGGGCUCUCCUCUGAUGAAGUCACCAUGAUAUUAGAAGCUUGAACAUUCAUAGAUUCCUCAAAGCUAACAUGCAUUUGCUGGGCAUCCUGUACGUUGAGGCCAUACACUUUCAAGUUGUCGCAUUGGACGAAGGAUACCGCCUGUAAACCAAAGGUGUUCGAUAAAAAAUCUGUAUAUCUCCAUCCUCAUACAUAAAACUCCUAUAGAAUAAUACUUUUAUGACUAAGAGAAGUUAUGAUCUUUAUCGAAGUUAUUGAUUUAAAGAGAGCAUUAUGUUUCUACUGUAUAAUACUUAUUCAUCUUAUUAUUUUAUGCUAAGUAAAACUUCACGAGACGAAGAUUGAGGAUCAAUGGACUUACUGUUGGUGCAUUGGUGCAAGGCUGCAUGUAAAAGUACUAGAAGUUAGUCCUUUAUUAACACGAGUAGAAUUCAAUUCAAAGGAUUUUUCAUACUUGAGUAAUGUUGAUUUUGCAUGAGUUUUUCCACCAUAUCUUUCCAUUGCCAUCGAUGGUUCCUUGACCUUCUACUUGGAAGUUUUUUAUGUUGUAGAACAAGAGCCAUCGGCUCCUAUCCUUCGCAUAGUCUGAAGGAUCUUCAGAAGCCUUGAUCGUUCCCAGGAUCUAGUACGUUUAAGCAUGAGAGAUUUUGAGUUUUUGGGUGAUGGAAGUACAAAAUUUGAUCAUACUUGGUGUAAAAUUAACUAGAACUCACCUUCAACUUUACAGAAUCAGAUUUGCAAGGGCCUGAAAAUGUAAUUGGCUUAACAUGAUACUUCUUAUUCUGAGGGACAACAAGCACAGCUGUGUUGGAAGAACAAGUCUCCUCCCAAGCUGUCUUGAAUGCCUAAAACCCCAAGAAAAUGGAUCAUAAUUCAAUCAAACAGUUGAAAAAACUACAUCAAUUACUGUAUCCACUGUUGAUGGUACCUCAGUAUCAUCUGUUACUCCAUCACCUUUAGCUCCAAAAUCAUCGACAUUUACCUCUCCCAGUGAAGUUGCAGGAGUACCCAGCUGAUCAUACCUUGUGGAAUCGACGAUUUCAGCUUCGUACUCCAUCUGCAGGUUCGCGAAACUUGCCUCAAAGUCAACGGCCCGGUCCUUAUCAAUGGUGCCAAAAAAUGGGGGGUAGGCACUUGGGCCAGGUGUUCCAUCAAGAAAAUUAGCAAGAUUGUCAUCCUGGAAACUGCUAAAACAUGAAGGAGAAGAGAUCAAAGUGAAGAAAAGUGAGAGAAAAAGACUUUGUGGAAGCAUUUUGUGAGAAAUCAAAGCUUGGUAUAAUGGUGUAAUGAGAGUGAACAUGCUAUGUCAUUGUGGGCUUAGAGGCUUACAUAUUUAUAGAAAAAGUGAAUGGAAGUUGGACUUGGACAAGCAAUUGGAUGAUUGAGAAUGAUUUUUCAUGAGCAGAGGUACAGAUUGAGGUAUAAGAGAUUGAGACGAAAGGGUUACUUUCUACAAAUACCUAAACGUUGGAUAUUGUAUAUAUAUUCUUAAUUUUAUAAGAUUCAAAACACUGCAUAAUGAAAAACAAUUUAAUUCAUAUUCUAUUUUUUUAAUCAGUAACAAAGGUGAUAUUUAUUUUUUCAAUUGAAAUUUGAAAAAAAUAAAAUAAAAAAUCUAUUCUAAAAUAUUCAAGCCUUAAUAAACCUUAAAAUUUCUUUUCUCAAGCGAAGAUUAAUAAAUAUCCUUGAAUCUACAAUAUAACUUAUAUGAAAAUACCAUUAAUAGGAGAAAUAACCCAUAUUCGAUCAAGUCUUAUAUAUACACUAACAUAAUUGAUAAUAUACUCUACAAUUCACAUCUCUUUGCUACAUCAAUUUUCAAAUACAAUUAUGGAUCAUGAAAUAUCAUUCUUACCAUAUGUAGUGUGGUAUGAAAUGAUAAUUCUCUUUUUUGGUUACUCCUUUUUUAUAUAUAUCCACAUGGGAAAAUUCUUAGACAUAUGCCUAAUUGCAAUGAAGAUGAUCCAUCUUCCAAUUAGCAAAACUGCAAGAAUUUCUUCACGAAAUGACUUAUAGAAAGUAUACUUGAAAAAAAAUAAAAAAAAUACAAAUGAGCAUUGUUCAAAUGUAUAUAGACUUUAACCUAUUAGUAUUGGCAUGCAUGGGUCAAACAACCAUGGACAGAUCUAGAAUAAUGGGUAUUUCCCAUUUUGAUUGUGUAAGUUUUGGGCAAAAGAAAAAGGGUGUUAAGCUAAUUACCAAUUUUAUCUCAUGCAUAUGUCUAUCACUAUCACAUAACUAAUAGAACCAUGCUGAUCACAAUCAACUUGGUAGUCAUCACCAAAUGCCAAAAAUAUGGAUCCCCAACCCACUCAUAUGAGAUUUGGAUGUUUAUUUAGAUAGAUUAACCUUUCUCUAACAUGUUAAAUUUGGAUAGAUUAAACCCAAUUAUGAAUCAAAAUUAGUUUUUCAAAAUAUGUUGAGUUCUUUUAGUAUUUUAAGCUCACCAGCUAAUACUAGUUUUUCCUAUCAUAUUCAAACAAUAAAUAAGUACCUUAAUAGUAGAAAAGAUUAAAUGAAAAUUUCAAAAGAAUUAAAAAAUGGUAAGAAAAAUAGUUAGAAAAUUUUCAAUAAUUUCAAUAAAUUUUAAAGGAAAAAACAUAAUUUUUUGUUUUAAAGAAUUCAAUAAUGAAAAAUGUGACCAAUCAACUUAAUUUUUUAAAUCCUCUAAGGGUGAGGCUUGUAUGACAUGUUUUAUAGGUUGUCAUUUUAAUGAAACUCUUGUCUCAUUAAUCAUACAACAAUGAUGAUAAAUAAUGUUAAUACUAUAUCAGCUAAUGAGAACCUGAUUAGGGGAUCUAGAAGAGCUCACACUAUGUUACUAGUAUCUUUUGAUUCAAUGUAAACGAUAUUUUAUAUUUUGUUAGAUCCAAAAGAAUCUUGUGUGAUCAACUUGAUCAUCUAGGGUAAAUAAUGAUGCAUCAACUCAUUAUAAAGUCAUAUAGACUUGCGUUAUAAAAUAAGAAGUUUUUACUUAGUGAUAGACCUAUCUAUAUACUUGAAAGGUAGUAUGACAUGUUGUACAAAUUAUCAUUUUGAUGAAAUAAUUUUCUGGUUGUUAGGCAGAAGUUGAUUUCUAGAAGAACGACAUAAAAUUCCUUAGGUUUUUUUUUCCUUAUGAUACAAGUGAAUGUGAUUUGAUAUCCUUGAAGGAUAAUUAAUCAACACAAUAAUAAACAGAUGCGCACCUAAAGCAUUGUAAAAUAGUUGAAACAAACAAUAAUAUAUAUCCUAGUAGGAUAAGGAUUUAUUAUAAUGAUAAAUGAAAUCGAGGCAUGCCUAAAGCGUGAUAGACUUAUCAGCUCAAAUGAUGUAAGUCCCUAGAAGAGGAAAACUCGUGAAAAACUUGACACUCUCAUAGAGGCCAUAAAAAUAAAUGAUUAGUCUAAAAUUGAUGAAUGUAGAGUCCCUAGAGAGACACAAAUAACACAGGUAGCUCUUGAAGAUGCAUGCAUAUAUUGAACAAGUAGGCCUUAAAGAGGUGCAAAUGGAAUGAAUAGCCCUUAGAGAGACACAAAUAUCUAAAAAGAUUUCUAUUAGUUAUGUACAUGACAUGAGAAAGAUGAUAUGAACAUAAUGUUUGUAUUCAUCUUGCUUCUAGAUAGUUGUUGAUAUCAUGAGGAAUGAUAAAGAUUUCAAAUCAUGAAUUGUAUAAGAAUCUUGACAUAGAAAUAAUUGGCCAAAAUAGAAAGAUGUAAACAAACAAAAGAUGUUGAUCUUAUUGAAUAUAAAUGGAGCUAAAGUCUAACAUUUGAAGAUGUAAAAAUUAUUGGAUACCAAUGAGAAAUUAUACAAAAGUGUAUUUGAGAUAAUGCAAAAAUUGUAGCAUAAGGUGUAUUUAGAAACCUUAUAUUGACUCUUGUAAUGGCUCAAUCAUAUUCCUAACAAUCAAGAUUGAUCAUCCUUGAAGGAUUUAAGAUGCACUAUAUAAUAUAUAUGGAUCUAUAGAUAUGUUCAAAUCCUUUAAGGAUUCAAACUACAUGAAGCAAUAAAGUCCUUAAAGGAUAAUGUUGAAGCAAAUACAUCCCUAAAGGAUAUAAGAUACUUGAAGCACAUAAUUUGAAACAUUGUGUAUUCAAGAGGCUACAAAAACCCUUGUAUGGAUUAAGAAACCCAAAUGCAUGUGUUACAAUCAUCUUAUUGAAUAUUUGUUGAGGGAAGAAUAUGUGUAUAAUUUUAUUUAUCCAUGCAUGUUCAUUAAGAAAUUAUCAAUUGGAAUUGCAAUUGUUGUAGUAUAUACAAACAAUAUGCAUCUUUCUAAAACUCUUGAAAAGCUCAUAAGAAUAGUUGACUACUUGCAAAGAAAGUUUGAAAUGAAAGAUCUUAACAAAAUUUUUCUUGACCUGUAGAUUGAGUACUUACUAAAUAGAGUGUUUUUUUAUUAAUUAACAUAUAUAGAAAAAAAUCUUAAAGCACUUUUAGAUAGACAAAUGGUAUGCAUUAAGUUCCCCAUCCUUGGUCGUUCACUUGAAGUGAACAAGGAUCUAUUUCAUCCUGAGGAAGAUAAUGAAGAUUUGCUUGGUCCAAAAGUACUAUAUCUCAAUGCAAAUUGGUGUUCUACAGUAACUCAAAGACAUUGGAAUGAAAUCAACAUAUAUUGUGUUAUUUUCUUGGAACCACGAAUAUGAGUUUAUUUUAUGUAAAAAGAGUAUAAUCACAAUUCUUAGAUACACAAAUGUCGAUUACCUUUCGAAUCCUUACAAAGCUAGGUCUCAAAUAGGAUAUAUGUUUACUUGUAGUGAUAUUACAAUAUCAUUAUGAUCAGUAAAGCAGAGCAUGGUAGCUACUUCUUCAAUUCAUUUAAUAAUACUUGCAAUUCAUGAAGCAAGUCAAGAAUGUGAGUGGUUGAGAUCUAUAAUCCAAUCUAUUUGAGAAUCAUGAAAACUAGCUAUCUUCUAUUAAAUAUAAUUUGAUAAUGCUAUAUGAAGAUAAUGUUGCAUCAUGUAUUGAAGAAAUUAAAGAAUGAUAUAUAUUAAGGGUGAUAUAACUAAGCAUAUGUUGCUCAAGUUCUUUUACACCAUGAGCUCCAAAGGAGGGGUGAAAUUAAUGUAAUACUCAAGAAACUCAUAUAUAAUAUUAUGAUGCAACCAACUCAAAGAUCUUCAUGCUGAGCAACUAAAGAAGUUAUAAUCAUGUCAACAUGAUUAUACUUUUGGGAUACACUGACUGGAAAAAGUAUAUUCAUUGACUGGAAAAAGUAUAAUCAUGCAACAGUCAAGAAACUCAUAUAUAAUAUUGGGAUGCGUCGACUCAAUGAUCUUCAUACUGACCUACUAGAGAAAGUAUAAUCACAUUAAGAUGAGAGAGAGUAGAUUGAUAAGGAUAUCACUAUACUAUACUCUUUUUCCCUUUAUUUAGGUUUUAUCUCAUUGAGUUUUACUAGCAAGGAUUUUAAUAUGGUAGUUGUAGUAGUCCAAAAGCAUAUUAUACUUUUAUUCCUUCACUAGUUGUUUACUUAUAGGGUUUUUUUUUUCCUAGUAAAAUUUUAAUAAGACAUACUCAAAGAAUGGUUGUCAUUUAAGGGAGAAUAUUAUAAAUAUUUAUGGUAGUUUGUGGGUAUCAUGUUUGUACUAUUACUAUAUUGGUAUUACCCUUGGCCUAUAAAUAAGAGUUAUGAGUUAGUAAAGAGAGACCGAAUAACUAAGUUAUUUUCUUUUCGUUUUCUCCUUUAAUCUUUAUGUUUAUUUCAUAACAAAUAAGAUUUUAUUUAUUUUUUAAUUUUACUUAAACCUUAAUACAUUAUUAAUACUUAAUGGUAAGCGCUACUUUUUGGGUAAUAAUAUUUAAUUACCAUUAAUUUUAACUUAAAAUUUUUUUAAAUCUUUUCCCUAUUUUAUCAUCCUAAAUAUUUUUUCUACAAGUGUACUCUUCACAAUUUAACUAUCCGACAAGGAAGUUCAAAAUCAUUAAAAAAGAAAAACAAGUCAUACAUCCAAAGAAAAUGAGAAUAUUUGACAAAGAUUCUAUAUUUAUAUCAAUGUUAUACUCUAUUAUAUUAAGUGAAUUAAGUUGGAGAAUCUGGGUAUCACAAUUCUUUAGAUUGAAGACAUGGAUAUGCAUAAAUACUAUUUAUUUAUAGACGAUAUAAAAUAUAAAGACACUUAUAAGUAUGAAAUACGUAGUUUUAUAUGUUAAAAAGCUAAGUUUGUGUCAAGGGAAACAUCAUUUUCUUGCUUUAACAUAGUGUAACACACUUCGGAUGGAAUUUUUAUAUAAAGGUUUUUUUUUUUUUUUUGGGUUCAAUUUUUAACUCAAAUUGAUAAGAUGGCUUGCAGCCUAGACCUAGCCAACCCCCUUCACCAUACAAUACAUGCUGCUUCUUAUUAUAACAACAAUAUGUGCUAGGGUUUUACACAUUAUUCAACUUCAAUAUUAGUAACAACAAACCCCAGCUAGCUAUAAUCUUCAUUGUAGGAAACCAUCACCACCCCAAGUUAACCCCAUUUACAGUAUUAAUCCACAUGUUUCACCAUUUUCGUUGACACAUGAACACUAUGGAGAAACCCUACCCCUAGUCUCCAACUCCAUGACAUUAAUACAUGCAGAGUUAAUCAGCUUCUCAGCUCGCUUUUUAUACUAGAUUUAUAUCCUUCAGCAUAAUGCCUUGGCAAGGUAAGGUCUUGCUGCACUUGAAUAUUGUGGUCAUUUUUGUUGCACUCAUGCCUGUGAUGUUCCUGUAGACUAUAUUUCUUAUUUGGACAGCUGAGUUCUGCAAGCCAUAGGAUGGAGAAUAGUUGUGUUGAAGGCAGACAAAUGAAGGCUUGUGAUUGAGUUUGAAUUGAUGAUUAGGGUUUACCUGUUCCUUUCAUGGAGUUUCUUGAUCACAGUAGUUUUGGUCUAUGAUUAUGGGGUUCUUCACAUUUUCCAUCUUAAUGUUCUGAAAUACUAUGUUGUCAACAUUCCUUGAUCCCCUGAUCCUCCCUACAUCAUAACAAAGCAAAAAAAAAUGAAAAAAAAAAAGAAAAAAAAGAAAAAAAAGGGUUUUCGAGCUAUUAAAAUAUAAAUAAAAUGAUAGAAUUUUCAAAUUAGUUGCAUCUACAACAAAUACAAUUAUAUAUGUGAAUUCAUGUAUGUAAAAAUAUAUUUAACAGAAAUAUGGUGUAAAUUCUCUUGUUUUGAUACAUAUUUACUUUGCAUAUAAAAACUUCAAGAAAGAACCUUCAUUUUUUUUGUUUGGUCUCACACAUUUGUAUGUGUACAUGUGUUUGUUUGCCCCAUAUGACUAAGUUAUAUAGGAUGCCUAAGAAAGGAUGACUGAAGUCUUUAUUCUCACUCCAAUGGUGGUUCCUAUGAGUUUUGCCUAAUCCACCAACACAUUUGAAACCUGGGCUUCUGAAUUUCCUCCUCCUAAGAUCCCAACGCUGGAAAUGAAAAUCAUGAGAAGUGGGUAAGGGAAAGGUAAUUGAAUGUGUAGUGCCAGCGAAAGCUUUGAUGCAAACAAUGUUAGUUCAAGAACACAAAGAUAAAACAAUCACACAUACGGUACACGAGGUUUUAACGUGGUUCGGCCAACCAUGCCUACAUCCACGGAUGAGAGAGAAUAAUUUCACUAUACAAUAGAGAAUAUUACAGAGGAUAAAACCAGAUACAACUAUUGGGUUUGAUUACUACUCAAAAAGUGCUAUUUUGUAGCUUGUAAUUAAUCCUUUUAAAUACUUUUGAGUAGUAGUUAUUGCCUUUUAACUCAAUUAACAUGUUAAGGACCCUUGCAAUCAUUUCUAAUCAAAUUGUGUAAGUUUUGGUGUUUUUGAUAGCUUUUUGAUCACCAAAGCAAUCCGAGAUUGAGGGAGAGUUGUAUAUAGUUCAUGGCAAAGCUUUUGGAAGCUCAAAUUCAUGAAGAACCAAGCUUUGGAGCUCCAUAGCCCUUUGCCAAAGUCGUUCAAAGUAUGCAAGGAGAGAGGAAAAACAGAGUGAAGGAAAACAGAGGACAGCAGCUGCAGUCUUCUUUCGCACUUUUGGAGCACUUCCCGAAGUCCAUUUUCUACAUUCUAUAUACCAUUUCAAAGCUCAGGAAGUCAAGAAUCCAACGCUUCAAACCGUGUACGAUUUGGAGCUGAAAUGAGGAAGUUAUAGCCUUUGGAAGAUGACUGCUCUAAGCUGAAGGAAGGAUUCAGCAAAGUGUUGCGAAAUCAGCCUUUUGUUGCGAGAAUUUCGCAGCCUUUUUGUACAGUGCUUUGGAUUUCCCCUGAAGUUUCACGCCGCGAUGGAAGCCAAACACCACAAGAUGAAAGCCAACUUCGUAGAGGUGUGGAAUCAGCCUUUUGCUGCAAAGAAAUUUCGCAGACCUCCUUGUGCACCUGCGAAAUUUCGCAGACACCAUUUUCUCUUGCGAAAUGGUCCCUAAAGCUUCCCGAUAUUUGCGACCGACACUUUUGGAUAUUUUUCUUCAGAUAUUUUUGUAUAAAUUUCCAUUUUCUCCUUGUAUUCAGCCACUCAUGUAAUUCCUUAGCUAGGAAGUAUCUAAGGAAGGGUAAAUUACCUUCCUAUAUAAACUCCCUUGCAUCCACUGUAAUCAUAUAUGUAAUCCAUAUCGAUCAAUAUAUAGAAUAUACAGAGCCUUGCUCUGUUUUUCCUUCUCUUUCAUUUUUCAUUUCUUUUUCUUUCUAGCCAACCAAACUCUGAGAAUUUUUCCUCAGAGGAUGAGAGGCUAAGCUUUUUGUCUCUUGGAGUAAGGUAAGCCGGGUAAGUUUCCACAUGCAUAAUUUGGAAGUUUUGUUGUUUUAGUUUUUAAUGAAGAGAAAGUGUGACCCGUUAAUGGUUUUUAUCUUUUUAGUUAACUUAAAACGCCUUUAAAUCACCUGGGCCAACACUUGGUAAGGCAAGUGAUCUCUGUCCAUGGAGAUGCACUAGUUUACCCCUUUCGAGCCUCUGGGAGGUGACUUGAAGGUAGGAUUUUCUAGAAUAGCCAACACUUGGUAAGCUUUUGGACUCCUAGGAGACAUCCAUUAGUUAUCUCUUGCGAGCUUUUGACGGGUAAUCCAAGGUUAAAGAUCACCUUGAAUGGCAAGUGCUAGGUGAGAGGUAUGAGCCAUUGCAAGGUGCAUCAGUGAGAGGGAUUUAGUGUUUGAACCCAUUAAUGGGAAGCAUCUGUACAACACCGGUUGGAGAAGGAACUAUAUGUUAAUUCUCUAAUGCGAGGAAAAGAAACAAGUGACCGAAACUCCCUUUUUGUAUGAGGAAUCUGAGCCUAGUGAUCUGAAAUUCCAAGAAACAUUUUUCUUUGUAAGUAAAAUCAGUUACUAUUUUUGGUUAGUUUAAAACCGAACUUUUUCCAUUUAAACAAGUUUAUGUUUUCUUUUAAAGUUAACCUUGAAAUGAAAAGGCACCAAUUCAACUUUGAAUUAAUAUCAUUUGUGAAGUGAAAACCCAUUCCAGUGAACGAUCCUAGAGCCACUAUGCUAUAGUAGCUUUGUCUUUGCUACCCUAGUAUAUGGUGUAAUAGGUUAUAAAUUUUGUUGAUUACUCCCUCAAUCAAGGAGCACCAGCUGGACACGAAUCAGUUGAGACACCAAGUGGGCACGAAUCAAAUGGCGCCGUUGCAGGGGAUCGAACCCCGAAUCAAAUGGUGCCAUUGCCACUGCCGCUGCUAGGGACGAAUCAGGGUUCCCGAAACAUCCCAUGUUUCCCCACUCCUUGUAUCCAUACCUUACUACGAGCCCUCUCGCUCCACCAGGUACCUCCCGUUCUUCCUCACAUCUCUAUCCACCUCGUAUAGUCUCUAUAGGCUCAUCUCCAUCUCAUAACUUUUUCCCCUCAUGACCUAGAAUAUUUAUAGAGAUAUUUCCAACAACCUUCCUUAUUCUAUAAGGAAGUCUAAUAUUACAAUAAUAUAUCAACCUAGAAAUAUUCUAUAUAAUAUUCUUUACAAAAAAGGAAUCUAUACUAAUUAGGAAUUUGGGACACUUCCUAACAGAAUGUGAACCAUACUUAUCAAAAUAUUCUUCAAAAAUAUAUAGAAGAUUCUAGGGUUUUACUUGCUUUUUAAUUUUUUUUUUCUCAAUCAAACUUAUGCACAAACUAUCCUGGGAUAUGCAUGAUUGGAUGUAAUACAAAAAUAUCUAUGUUUUUCUGAAAGAAAAAAACAGACAUGACGUGUUAUUUUAUCCAUCGAAUUUUAUUUUAGUCUUCAUCGGACGUCUUCCAAGUUUAAAGGUUUGAAAAAUGCUCUUGAAAUAUAUUAACUUGCAAUUGUUGAAUUAUUGUUUUAGAUAAAUCUAUCAACUAGACUUUUAGAGCAUAAAUGUCUUCAAUUUUAUAGGAAAAAAGAGAAAGAGAAGGGAAAGGUUAGGGUUAAGGUUUGAUGAGUAUAGUUGGAAAGGGAAAAAAUGAGGAUAGUAAUUUUGUUUUGUUCAUAAUUAUUUCAUUUGAAAAGGAAAUCCGCGGGUUAAGAAGGGAGAACCUAGAAAGAACCCUAGAAAGAUAAUGUUAGAAUUUUAGAACUAUUUGGUUAGAGAGAUUAAUUUGACCCAUAUAUUUUAUGAAUAAAUAAUGGAAUUUGUUUUUGCUUGCCCUCCUUGGAAGCAGUUGAGUAUAGUGUUGGUUCAAGUUGAGAUAUUGAACCUGAUUCCAUGACCUGGUCCGCAGGUUACAUCUAUGGCUUCAACGUUUUUGGACCCAUUUACAAUGGAAAUGCAGUCGUCACCUUCAACCAAAAAAACAAAAGCAUGUAAGUCUCAUGAAAAAUCAGAACUCCCCAUAAUUCAACUUUUUUUUUUCUCAUGGUUUACCUGUUGUGAUAACAGAUUCAAUGAUCUGAACAUUUUCUGAGCUGGUCGCAUGAAUUCCUCAGUGUUGGGGCUCGUCUGUGGUGAAGUCGUCACGAUCUUAAAAGCUUCAACAUUCACAGAUUGCUCAAUACUAACAUGCAUUUCCUGGGCAUUCUGUACUUUUGAGGCCAUUCACUUUCAAGUUGUCGCAUUGAAUGAAGGAUACCGCCUGUAAACCAAAGGUGUUCCAUAAAAAGGGAUGUCUCCAUCUUAUAUAACGGGGAAACCCCUGUAAAAUAAUACUCUUGAAAUAAGAAAAAAAAAAUUAUUAUCUUUGUAGGAGCUAUUGAUUUAUCAAUAAUGAAUAUUUAUUAAUUUUGAAAAAGUGUAUUUGCAUGUUCAUCUUAGUAUUUUAUGCUAUGUAAAGCUUCACAAGAUGAAGAUUCAGGAUCAAUGGACUCACCGUUGGUGCCUCGGUACAAGGCUGCAUAUGUAAAAGUACUAGUGGUUAGUCCUUAAUUAAUGACAAAUAGACUUCAAUGCAAAGAAUUUUUCAUACUUGAGUUUUGUUGAUUUUGUAUGAGUUUUUUCACCAUAUCAUUCCAUUGCCAUCUAUGGUUCCUUCACCUUCUACUUGGAAGUUUUUUAUGUUGUAGAACAAGGGCCAAUGGCUCCUAUCGUGCGCAUAGUCUGAAGGAUCAUCAGAAGCCUCGAUUGUUCCCAAGAUCUAGUAUGUUUAAGCAUGAAAGAAUUUGAGUUUUUGGGUGAUGGAAGUACAAAAUUUGAUCAUACUUUACAUAUAAUUAACUAAUUAACUCACCUUCAACGUUACCGAAUCAGAUUUGCAGGGGCCUGAAAAUGUAAUUGGCUUAACAUGAUACUUCUUAACCUUAGGGACAACAAGCACAGCUGUGUUUGAAGAAGAAGUCUCCUCCCAAGCUUUCUUGAAUACCUAAAAACCCCAAGAAAAUGGAUCAUAAGUCAAUCAAACAGUUGAAAAAAUUACUUCAAUUACUGUCUCCAUUGUUGAUGGUACCUUAUCAUCUGUUUCUCCAUCACCUUCAGAUCCAAAAUUCUCAACGUUCACCUCUCCCAGUGAAGUUGCAGGAGUACCCAGAUGAUCGUACCUCAGGGAAUCUACGAUUUCAGCCUCAUUACCUAUUUUAUCUCCUGCACAUUGAUUCGUGCCCAAUUGGUGUCUCAGCUGAUUUGUGUUCAGCUGGUGCUCCUUGAUUGAGGAAGUGAUCAACAAAAUUUAUACCUAUAACACCAUACACUAGGGUAGCAAAUACAAAGCUACUAUAGUAUAGUGGCUCUAGGAUCGUUCACUGGGAAUGAUGAACAAGCAAUCAAGGAUACCAAUUCCAAGUGAAUUGGUCUUGUUUCAUUUCACGGUUAGCUUAAGAAAUAAAACACAAACUUUGAUUGGUAAAGGUUGAGACUUAAACUAACUAACUUAACAGAAGUUUGGAAUAAUUUAGGAAGAAAAGCAUUCCUUGGAGAUUUAGGUUCACUGGGGUGGUUCCUCAUGCAAAAGACAUAGCUCCGGUCAGACGGUUCAUUUCCUCACAUUAGAGAUUCAACUUAAAGUCAAUUCUCUAACCGGUGAUGUACAGAGACUCCUUCAAUUAGAUUUCACUUUAAUUCUCUCACUGAUACAACUUGCAAUGGUUCAUGCCUCUCACGAGCACUUACCAUUCAAGGUGAUCUUUAACCUUGGACUUCCCUUCACAAACUCGCAAGAGAUAACUAAUGGAUGUCUCCUAGGAGUCCAAAAGCUUACCAAGUGUUGGUAAUUCCAGAAAAUCCUACCUUGAAGUCACCUACCAGAGGCUCGCAAGGGGUAAACUAGUGCAUUUCCGCGGUUGGAAAUCACUUGCCUUACCAAGUGUUGGCCCAGGUGACUCCAAGGUGUUUUAAGUUAACUAAAAACAUUGAAAUCACUAAAGGAUUUCACUUCCUCUUCAUUACUAGCUAAAACCACAGAGCUUGCUUUCUUGCACUUGGAACCUUCCCCGGCAACCUUAGCUCCAAGGAAUUGGAGGUUUAGUUACUCAUUCUCUGGGGAAAACUCCUCAGAGAAUUCAUAACUUAGAAAUAAAAUGAAAAUACAAAGUGAGAAGGUAAGGCAGUAGAAAGAAAAGACCUUUACUUCCUUAACCAAAUGUUUUCAGAAGGAACUCUUCUCUGAGAACAGGCUCUCGAGAGGUAUUUAUAUCAAAGCAAUAUAAAACUAAUUGUUACAAAGAUAUUUAGUCUUUUUACUAACUUAAAAAACUAAGGAAUCAUGUAAUUGGUGGUUUACAAGGAGUAUUUUGGGAUUUAGACAACAAAAAUCUAAUGGAAAAUAUCUCCCAAUGUCGGUAGCAAGCUUCAGGAGGCUUCAGGAGCCAUUUCGCAGGGGUAAAAUGAUGUCUGCGAAAUUUCGCAGACACCCAAGAGGGCUGCGAAAUAUUUUCGCAACACCAAGCUAUCUUCACCAGGCUGCAAAGUUGGCUUCCACCUUGAGGUUUCCAGCUCCCUUCUCGCGGCAUGGUUCGUGCAUCGUCAGAAGGAGAAACACCUUACUGUACAAAAGUGCUGCGAAAUUCUCGCAACAAAAGGCUGAUUCCGCAACACUUUAGAGUGAUUGACUUGUAAUGGCUGCAACUUCUUCGUUUCAACUCCGAAUCGCGCACUGUUUGAAGCAUUGGAUUGUUGACUUCAUGAGCUUUGAAAUGGUAUAUAGCUUGCAUCAUUUGGACUUCAGAAAGUGCUCCAAAAGUGGCUGCUACGACUGUCAUCAAGAAUAGGCUUCAUGGCAGAUUCUCUUUGCUUUUUCUCCUUGCAAUCCGGAUUCAUUCUUGGCAAGUGAAUUCUAAGCUUUUCCCAAGAUUCCUCAUAGCUCUCCUCAUUCUUGACUUGCUUUGGUGAUCAAUAUACUAUCAAAAACACCAAAACUUGCACAAAGUGAUCAAAAUUGCUUUAAAGGAUCCUUAACAUGCCAAUUGAGUUAAAAGGCCUAAACUACUACUCAAAAGUGAUAAAAAAGGAUUAAUUAAAGGCUAUCAAAUAGCACUUUUUGAGUAGUAAUCACACAUAUUUAUCACUAUCACAUAACUAAUAGAACCAUUCUCGUCACAAUCAACUUGGUAGUCAGCACCAAACGCCAAAAAUAUGGAUCCUAACCCAACCAAAUGAGAUAAGUUUGAUUGAAAAUGUUACUGCAUUAAACGGUUUAUUUUAAGUUGAUAAUUUUAUUUCAUUCAUUCUGACUUAAGAUUAAUGACAACCCGACUCUUGGUAGCUUGGCAUGUAAGGGUAUCAACAAAAUUUAUACCUAAGGUCCUUACACUAAAGUAGCAAAGCUACUAUAGCAUAGUGGCUCUAGGAUCGAACACUGGGAAGGGUUUUUACUUUAACUGGUGAAGUUCGGAGGAUGGAGUGAACUUUUCUUAAUAAAAAUUAGGUUAAGAUGAAAACAUAAAAAGAUGAAGGUGUUGUACUAAACUAACAUGAAAAUAGGUUAAAAGAUGGAAAAAUAAGUUUCUCAAAGCUUUGGAUAGCCAUGCUUAACUCACGGUGUAAAAAUGGAGAUUUUGGAACUUUUCACCUCGAGUUGGGGAAGCAACUAAGGUGAUGCUUACUUCCCGAACCGGUAUGUGUUUAACAACUGAGUUUUAGUCCUUCAAAACUUACAAAAAGGGUAGCUGAACCUCAUAAAUGCUCUUUUAAUGAUAUAGGUCAUCUCCUCGACUUGCAAUACAAUGGCUCGUAGGAGAUAACUAAUGAACGUCAGUGGAUCUAACAAUAAGAAUCCACUGAGACCAAAAGGUUAUCAAGUAUUGGCCAUUCAAAGCAGUCAGAGGGAUUAAAAGCUUUACUUUGAUGAAAACAUUUAUGAUGCUCACUACUUACNNNNNNNNNNNNNNNNNNNNNNNNNNNNNNNNNNNNNNNNNNNNNNNNNNNNNNNNNNNNNNNNNNNNNNNNNNNNNNNNNNNNNNNNNNNNNNNNNNNNAAAAGACAAAAAUUCAAUUUCUCCCUUUUCAUUUUUGAGAAUUUUUCCUUAAUAACCAUGGGGAGUAGAGAAAAAAAACUUAAAAAAUUUAAAAAUUAAGCGAAAAGCAACUAAAUUACCAAAAUAACUUAGCAUUAUUAACAAUACUUACUUCCUCAACUCUCCCCCCAACCAAGCUGAACAUUGUCCUCAAUGUGACAAAAGCGAUUGAAAAAUAGGGAGGAAGUGAUACCUCCUGAGUGACAUGGAGUUUGAGUCGUAUAGGAGAAACCACAUGUUUCAAAGAAAACAUAAGAGUUAAUGAGUAGAGGAAAUAGAAAAAUGCUAAGUUUAAACAAAAAUGAUGUCUAUAUAUGAUGUAUCAUCAGUAAUACAUCCAAUCCCAGAAUAUAAGACAUCAAAAUAUGAAAUUAUUUACACUAAUAUAAUAUGUAAAUACAAAAAAUAAAAAGAUGAUCAAGUAGUGGUAGGGUCAUGUGGAGCUGAUGCGUCUGUGGUGGCCUCUUGAAUGGGUUGGAUCAGGACUUUGGCCUCUAUUCUGGUAGUCUCCUUGGGUAGCAUAGUCUCCUCAGCUGAAGCUAUGGGCUUUGAUGGUUUAAGGAGGUCAGAAAUAGAGUGAGAGGCUUUGUGUGUGAUCUCAGUGAAAGGGCUCUCCUCUUUAGAUGCAUGGUUGCGGGGCUCUCUUUGCAUUUUCACAACUUCCCUUGGCUUUGCAAAGUGUUUUCGCAAACCUCUCUUCAUUUUGCAAGUCAUUUUUAUAGCCUGGAGGUCAUUUUGUAUCUUGGAGAUCAUCUUGCAGCCAAAGGAAAAAAAAGAAAAACAUUUUCGCAGCCCAUGGAAAAAAUAGAAACAUUUUCGCAGCCCAUUUUGAAGCUUGAAAAUCAUUUCAUAGCCAUUUGGAAGCUUGGAGAUUAUUUCAUAGCCAUUUGGAAGUUUGAAAAUCAUUUGGUAGCAAAAGGCCAUUUUCGCAGCACAUGGAGGAUUUGGCAGGGGGUAGCUAUGGGGCUGCGAAAUCAUUUCGCAGCCAAAUGGAGUUUUCGCAGCCGGGUGCCAUUUUCGCAGCCCAUUUCGCAGCUGCGAAAUAGGGUUGGGCGGCUGCGAAAUGGCACUCGUGUGCCAAAGGGGUGUUUCGCAGCUGCGAAACACCCUGCGAAAUGGGGCCUUGGCUGCGAAAUUUCCGUUGGUGCUUUGCAUGUUCAUCUUCAAACGGCCAUAACUUCUUCGUUUCAAAUCCAAAUCAUGUACCGUUUGAAGCGCUGGAAUCUUGACUUCCUAAGCUUUAAAACAAGAUAUAGUAUGAAAAAUUUGAGCUCCAGGAAGUGCUCCAAAAUGUGUCCAACAGUUGCGAAAUGCAACAUUUCCGUUCAUGGUGUGCACAAUCAUCUUAAAACGGCCAUAACUUCUUCGUUUCAACCCCAAAUUGAGCACCGUUUGAAGCUAUGGACUCCUGACUUCCCAAGCUUUGAAACGAGAUAUGGUAUGAAUAAAAUGAACUUUGGGAAGUGAUAUAAUUGUGUCCAACAGGGGUGCGGCUGCAACAUUUCCUUCAUGGUGUGUGCGCUGAAGGAUUUUAAGGCAUGGAGGAUUUCGCAACCAUUUCGCAGCUGCGAAAUGAGUGUAUGGGGCUUCCAAAUGGCACUCGUGUGCCAAAGGGUGGUUUCGCAGCUGCGAAACACCCUGCGAAAUGGGGCUUUAGCUGCGAAAAUUGGAGAUUUCACACUUUGGGGAUUUCGCAACCAUUUCGCAGCUGCGAAAUGGGGGUACUGUGCUGCGAAAUGGCACUCGUGUGCCAAAGGAGUGUUUCGCAGCUGCGAAAAUUUUCGCAGAGGGGGGGUGUGGGGCUGCGAAAUUAUUUCGCAGCAAAGUGGCGAUUUCGCAGCGAAGUGGCGAUUUCGCAACGAACUUGUUGGGGCUGCGAAAUGGUUUCGCAGCAAAGGGCCGAUUUCGCAGAGGCUUUUUUUAGGCUGCGAAAUUUCGCAGACCCCUGUUUUUCCCCUGUUUUUACACUUUUUCUUGCUCCAAACAACUUUCCUUCAAUUUCUUUGCAAUUCCUCCUGAUUUUGAUCAUCCAAAAACCUAUAUUACAUCAAAACAAAUUAGAAUUAAAGCAUUGAAAUCAAAAUUAAAACAAGUAAUAAAUAAAACAAAAAGAUAUGGACUAUCUAGUCUUUAAAAAGACUAAGUCCAUCAAAAAAUUUGAUCAUGAUUUAGCUUGCCCGGAUCCCAUAUGAAGUUUGCAUCCCUCACUUGAGACUUUCUCUGUAUGAUUUUGGCAUACAAAGCUUGGAGGAAAAGUGGAGGCAUGUGUUUCUUCAUCUCUUCCUUGAUGACUAUCCUCUGUGAUUCUCCUUCUACAUUAAAAUCAUAGUCAUCUUUCUCUAUACUUUUCCCCUUUUUCUUUCCUUUGAUUUCCUCCCUCUUUUCUUUCUCUGCUUCACUUUCUACCUUAUGCUCUAGCUUGCAUGUGGGUAGAUCAACCUCUUUACCACUCAAAGUGAUAACCGUUUUAACUUCCUUCACCAUUGAAGAUUCUCCCUCCUUAGCCUCCAUUUCAUGGAUACUCUUGGAAUUUUGAUAAUGUUGAGAAGGAAAGUUUUCUUUCUCUUGCACUUUGUUGAGGUUGGCAAACCUUGAGAUUGAAUAUUGGAGAUUAUCUAUCUUCUGAGAUAGAUCACUUUGCACUUCAUCCAUCCUUUUAUUCAAUGAACUCUCUACACUAUCAAUUCUUUGACUGAGAUGAGCAUUGAUGGAUUUUUUAGCUCCAACAAAGUCUCCCACGACCUUGCUAAGAUUCAUCAUAGCUUGUUCAAGGUUUGAGGCUUGCUGUGGUGCUUGAGCAGGUUGCUGAUACUGAGGUGGUUGUGGUUCCCAAGAGAAAUUUGGAUGGUCCCUCCAAUUGGAAUUGUAGGUGUUGCAAUCACCAAACAUUUCCCUCACGGCUGGAAUGGUAGGACACUCAUCCACCAAGUGCUCAUAAGAUAGACAAAUGGCACAAGACAUAGCUUGCAAUGGUGUUUGAGAGAUGGCUUGCACUUCUUGCAUCUUCUUCAUUUCUAGCUCUUCCAAUCUCCUUGCCAUAGCUGCAAUCUUUACCUUCAUGUCUAUGCCGUCAUUCAAAAUAUACAUCUCACCCUUAGCAUUAGGUUGAGACGUCAUUCUUCCCAUAUCUCGAGCAUUUGGUUCAUCCCAUCCUCUUGAAACUUCAGCCACAUAACUCAUGAAGUUCAUGGCUUCCUUUGCUAUCUCGUAUUCAACAUGACAUGCACAACUAGCAAUUUGUGAAUUAAAAACAGAGAAAACAAAAGAAAAUAAAAGAAAAAUAAUUCAAAUAAAAAAAAAUUAAGGUAAACUAAAAACUAAAUAAAAGGUAUACUAAGAUAUGAACAAAGAAAAAGAAACAAAUAAAAAGAGUUAGUAAAAGGAAAAGAAAAGUCACCAAACUUGUGAUGAAGAUCACAAGUACUCUGAAAAUGUCAUAUCACUGUAAAGUGGCACCAUCCCCGGCAACGGCGCCAUUUGACAACCCGACUCUUGGUAGCUUGGCAUGUAAGGGUAUCAACAAAAUUUAUACCUAAGGUCCUUACACUAAAGUAGCAAAGCUACUAUAGCAUAGUGGCUCUAGGAUCGAACACUGGGAAGGGUUUUUACUUUAACUGGUGAAGUUCGGAGGAUGGAGUGAACUUUUCUUAAUAAAAAUUAGGUUAAGAUGAAAACAUAAAAAGAUGAAGGUGUUGUACUAAACUAACAUGAAAAUAGGUUAAAAGAUGGAAAAAUAAGUUUCUCAAAGCUUUGGAUAGCCAUGCUUAACUCACGGUGUAAAAAUGGAGAUUUUGGAACUUUUCACCUCGAGUUGGGGAAGCAACUAAGGUGAUGCUUACUUCCCGAACCGGUAUGUGUUUAACAACUGAGUUUUAGUCCUUCAAAACUUACAAAAAGGGUAGCUGAACCUCAUAAAUGCUCUUUUAAUGAUAUAGGUCAUCUCCUCGACUUGCAAUACAAUGGCUCGUAGGAGAUAACUAAUGAACGUCAGUGGAUCUAACAAUAAGAAUCCACUGAGACCAAAAGGUUAUCAAGUAUUGGCCAUUCAAAGCAAGUCAGAGGGAUUAAAAGCUUUACUUUGAAUGAAAACAUUUAUGAUGCUCAACUACUUACAUUUAUGGCUUGGAAAUCUCCAUCCUGACACGGGAGCUUCACAUGGCAUCCAUUACUUCAAGAAACUAAAAGGUUUUAGCCUCUCAUCCUUGGGGAUUUCAUCCUCCAAGGAUGUUUGGCUACUAAGAAAAUAGAAAAUAGUAGAGAGAAAAAGAAAGCAAAAGAUAUUAUGUAUUUAGCUAAGUGUAAAAUUUUACAAAAGAUGGUCUCCUCAGGAAAGUUCCCCGACGACGGGCCUAUAAAAUGAAAAUUACAAAACAAUAUAUAACAGGUUGUUUACCCCUGUAUUCUUGCUUAACAACUAAGGAAUCAUCUAAUUGGUGGAUUACAAGGAGAGAAUUGGGAUUUAGACAACAAAUAUCUGAAGCAAAAUAUCCAAAAACGUUGGUCGCAAAUAUCUGGAAGCACUCAGGAGAAUUUCGCAGGCGCACAAAAUGGCUGCGAAAUUUCGCAGCCGAAGGCUGAUUUCGCAGCCAAAGGCUGAUUUCGCAGCCCUGCGAAAUUGGCCUUCAGCUUGGAGUGAUCUGCUUCCAUUGGCUCUAACUUCUUCAUUUCAACUCUGAUUUGUGAACCGUUUGAAGCAUUGGAUUGUUGACUUCCCGAUCUUCGAAACGACAUAAAGCAUGCAUAAAUUGGACUUUAGGAAGUACUCCAAAAGUGGCUGAAAUUACUGUCAUCAAGGAUGCUUCAAGGUAGAUUCUCUCUUUACUUCUCCUCCUUGCAUUCCGGAUUGGUUAUGGCAAAGGACUUUAAGGCUUCAAAGCUCUAAUUCUUCAUGUUUCUGAGCUUUCCAUUGCUUUGCCAUGGAUUCCAAAUAACUCUCCUCCAUCUUGGAUUGCCUUGGUGAUCAAAUUACUAACAAAAACACCAAAACUUACACAAAGUGAUUAGAAGUGAUUGCAAAGGUCCUUAAUAUGUUAAUUGGGUUAAAAGGCAAUAAUUACUACUCAAAAGUGUUUAAAAGAGUUAAUUACAAGCUAUCAAAUAGCCCUUUUUGAGUAGUAAUCAAUUAAUUUAAAAAAACUGCACAUCCACUUAAGCAUUUCUUGAAUCACCCGAGCGCUCUUUUGGGUGCUUGAGCAUUUGAAGCUAUUUGUCUCCACUUUGUAAUUCCCAAUUAAUUUUAAUUAUUUCAAUAUUUUAAAAGUUGUUUUUGGAAAAUUUAGGAUUUCAUCCAUUGGGGAUUUUUCCCUAUAAAUACCAUGUCAUAAAGGUUUUUCCUCUUCAAUGAAAACUUUGAGAAAACAAGAGUAAUAGCCUUCCCUCGUACCAAAUAUUCUAAAGUUUAAUUUUCCCAUUCUCUAGGUUCAUGAGAGAGAUCUACAUCAUCUCAAGCAUUAAAGUUGUCCACUGGGUGCGAGAUUGGUAUUUUAGCACAUACGGGAAAACUAAUAUAAGUAUUAGGAAGUAAGACUUAGGGAUGGUAUCCACCAUGUAAAUUUGUAUGCUUUCCUUUCAAUAGUGGAUAUAUGCUCUAUAGUCUUUGAUCUCACAGCUUUUACAUCCACAUAAUACUCUUUGGAAGACCUUGUGGGUGGUUUUCCAUGUAAAAUUUUUUGUAUCUUGUACGAUUGUUCUUUUCUUCCUACUCUCUAAUUAUUAAAGAGGAAUUAAAAAUAAAAAUUGGGCUAAAAGAAGUUAAUACUUAUUCACCCACCCCAAAUAUUUCAAAAUCAAAAUCUACAAACUUCCAAUUGGUAUUAGAGAAGGAAAUAUUUUAGAAAUCAUUUUUUUAUCCUGCUAUAAGGAGCGAAUGAGACUACAAACAUGAAAAGGAAAAGUUGUGUUUGUGAAGCCCGUAGGUUGUUCCAUGUAGAUUGUUUCCUUGAGAUCAACAUGUAAAAAGUCCGCUUUAAUAUUUAGUUGUUUUAAAUUUAUGAUUGGACAAAAUGUUUGAUCAAAGUUGAUGCAAGGAACUUGUGUGAAGCCCUUGGCAAUGAGAUGAGCCUUGUGUUUAUCAAUCAUUCCAUCUUUCUUAUAUUUAAUUCGAUAGACAACUUAUAACUUUGACAUUUGGAGGUCCCAAUACAAGGGUCCUAAGUGUUAUUUUUCUUGAGUGCUUGUAGUUCUUCCUUUGUCGUAGAAAACCGUUGUGGUAUUUUGACAGCAAUUCUAAGUCUUUUUGGUUUAAAUGGUGGGUGGGUAAAUGGCUAAUGCCUUUUUUUUUCCUUUUUUCUUUUUCUUCUUCCUUUUUAUCAUUAAUGAAGCCAAACCUUGGGAACUAGAGUUUAAUGCCUUCUUUUAAAGAAAGAGAGAGACAGAGGGGUGAACACUAGAGUUAAUAUACUUUCAUAUAAUUUUUACAAAUUAGGAAUAUACAUAAUGUGUAUAUUCUAAAAUGCAAUUUAACUCAUCAAUUAAAAAAAAUAGAAUUACUUAGGGCCUGUUAGGUCGUUGUUUUUGAAAACUGUUCUGGAAAACAGUUUUUAAGAAUAAUUUUUAGUAUUUUUAGAAACAAAAUUGUGUUUGAGAAUUGGAUUCUAGAAAACAGUUUUUGUUCUAAAAACAAAAACAUGUUUGGUUGAGUUAAUAAAUUUUUUUUUUUAGAACAAGUAAAAUAAAAAACAUAUUUAAAGGUUUUUUUUCUUCAAUUAACUUGAUAUCCUAAGUAUAUAAAUAAUUUUUAAAUUCACAUUUGAUUAAAAUUAAAAAAAUUAUUCUCAAAUUUAUUUACACCAAUUAUAAUUUUUGUUAACUUUUAGUAGAUAAAUAUGAACAUGGAAUAUGAUAGAGAUAAAUAAGGUAAAAAACUAAUAAAAUAAAAAAUAAUUCAAAUAUAAAUAUAAUUUUUAUACCAUCUAAAAAUAAUUAUUGAUUUCCUAAUGCAAUUUAAAAUAUUAUAAGAUAAAAAAAAUUACAUAAUAUAAUAAAUUAAAAAUAAUUCAAAUGAAAUUUAAUCUAUUUACCAUAUAACUAUAUGUUAGAAGUUGAUCAACAUAUAAAUGUAUCUUAUACAUGCAAACCAUGUUAUUAUUUAUUAAAUAUGAUAUUGCAUAUAAAUUACCGAAUAUUAAAUUUGAUGUUGCAUAUAAAUUAUAAAAUUUACAAGUUUUUUUAUAAUGUAUAAAUUAUCAAUUACUAAAUAUUACUUUACCAAAUAUUAAAUCUGAUGCAACAUAUAAAUUACCAAAUAUAACUUUGCAACUAUUAAAUUUGAUAUUUAUUAAAUUUGAUGUUGCAUUAUAAAUGAUAAAAUUACAAGUUUACUAAAUAUGGAUCUCCCUAUCCCAACAACCACCAGCAAAUCCCCAAACCCAAAGCUCUCCUCCAAAUCUCAAUCAUAGUUGAGGGUUGUCAGAGUUGGAGAAGGAAUCUUAUGUUCAGUCCCGGCGUCGGCGAUGAUGAGUCACCAUCCACUGACAUUGAAGCUCCCACGGUUCGUCAAUUGUAGUGAGGUAAGGGAGCCCUCAUCCCCUCAUCUCUCAUCUUAAUAGACUUUGAAGGAGGUAACGGUUGGGUUAAACAGGAAUAGUUUUUCUUCUUCUUCUUUAAUCUUCAUGGUGGACAAGAUUGAUGGUUUGAAAUUGGGAUUUGAGAAUCUCAUAAUCGAACUCAUCAUACCUGGCAUCGGACUUGGUGCGAUCAGUGUCGAGGCGGGUAGGACUCGGUUGAGUCGUAUCGGACUCAACUGAUAUUUUGAAUCCUGUCACCAUUGCUUUCCACCCUAUUGUCACGCAGCGUCGCUCACAGCAUCUCCACAUGUGGCCUUGCCCUUUAAAGCACCGCACGGUUGUUGAUGCCUUUCACACCCACAACCAUUCACUCACGCCAAGACCACCAUAGUCAGCCAACAUGGUUGCCAUCUUCAUCCUCCAUGACCUUCAUUUCUUAUUGUUGAAGGAGAAACCACAUGUAGAGAAACAUAAUGAUUUGUCCCCAUUGCAGUCAUGCCAUUUGAUUCUGGCUCAAACGAGUGUUAUGAACAAAAUUUAUAAAACCUAAAUCACCUUACACUAGGGUAGCAUAGCUAACAUAGUAUAGUGACUUUAUGAUCGUCCAUAAGGAUGAGUUUUCAUCGUACAAUUGACAUUAGUGAAGGAAAUAAAAGGGUGUUUUUCCUUAUGAAAAUGAGCUUUUAAAGAAAAUGGAAUUGUGGUUGCAAAAAUUGAUUUUAAGUUAAGCAAAAACAAUAAGUGAAGUUAACUAUAAAGAAAAGGUCUCUUGGAGCUUUAGGUCACUAGGAUUGGGUUCCUUAGACAAAAGGGGAGAUUCCAGAUCUUUUCCUCGCGUUGGGGAUAAUAACAUAAAGGAUGGUUAUCUCCCGAACCGGUUUUAUAUUUAACAAUUAAGAUUUGAUCCAAAGGGUUCAUGGAAAUUGAUAGUUGCUUCCCAUUAAUGGCUUUAAACACUAAAUACUCUCACCUUGAACCACCUUCCAAUGACUCGUAAAUGAUAACUAAUAAACAUCCAUGGAUCUAGCAAUAAACAUCCAUGGAAUCUGAAAAGCUUACCAAGUAUUGGCCAUUGAAGGUGAUUUUAAGGGAUUUAAAGCUAAACCUUAAAAUCAAAACCAUUAAUGGUUAACAACUACUUUCAUUUAAAGCAAGGACAACUCACACCUUUGCAUUCAGGUCCUUUACCUAACUUCCAUCACUCCAAGAAACGUAAAACCUAGCCACUCAUCCCCUGAGAAAUCAUCCUUAGAGGUUGUUUGGCUAGGAAGAAAAGUGAAAACAAAAUGAGAAGGAAAGGCAAAGCAAAAAGCUCUCUGUAUUUCUUACUACGGGAAUUUACAAGUGUUCAAUGAAAAACAUCUGUCUGUCUCCCUCUCUCCUUACAAAAGAUGUUACCCAAAAGAUAUAAAAAGAUAUAAAAGAAAAUAUCUAGGUUGAUUACAAGGAGAAAAUAGGAAAUUACACAAAAUAUUUGGAGAUAAAAAUCUAACGGAGUUGGUGCACAAGAGGAUUUCGCAUGGUAUGCAAAAUUUCGCAUGGUGUGCGAAAUUCUUUGGCUACUUCUUGUGGUUUGGCAUGGUGUGCGAAAUUUUCUUUCACUCAGUCUUGCUUUUAGUACUGCAGCUGCUUCUCCUCUUGAUUUUGCGUGCUAUGCGAAAUUUUUGCAUAGCCAUGCGAAAAUGCUGGUUGUUGGAUUUCUUCUUCUAGUUUUCUUCCUUGCAUCUCUGAUUGGCUUGACAACCUAUUGCCAAGCUUGGAAAAGGGCUAUGAAGUGCUCCAAAGCUUGGAUUCUUCAUGUAUUUGAGCUUUAACUUGCAUUGCCAUGGAUUUCACAAAAUUCUCCCUCAUUCUUGGCUUGUUUCAAUGAUCAAAUAGCUACCAAAAACACCAAAACUUGCCAAAACUGAUUAGUAACCCUUGCUAGGUUCCUUAAUGUGCCAAUUGAGUAAAAAGGUAUUAACUACUAUUCAAAAGUGUUUAAAACAGUUAGUUUGAAGCUAUAAAAGAGUACUUUUUUAGUACUAAUCACAUAAAAAAACAGGAGAAGAAAGCACAAAGAAUAACUCUUCCUUGAACAGUGAAGAAAACAACCAAAACAAUUUUUUUUAUUCUCUGAAAAUAGGUCUCUCGAGAACAUGGAAAACACCAAAAACAAAAAUCACCCUCUUUCCCAAACACGUUUUCAGUGUUUUUUGUUUUCAAGAACAGAAAAUAGUUCUUGAAAACAACAACAAAAUAGGCCCUUGCUCUUUACCUUGUUGCAUGGGUUCCGGUAUAGUGAGUAUAUGCGUUAGUGUUCAAUCCUUCAUACUUUCAAAUUUUAAAGAACAAAGACUAGGCUUAAAAAGGCAUAACCUAACCAAAAAAAAAAAAAAAGUCUAUUUUUUCCCUAUUUUAUCCCUAAAUAUUUUUUCUACAAGUCUACUCCUUAUAGUUUAACCAUCUGACAAGGAAGUCCAAAAUUAUUAAAAAAAAAAGUCAUACAUCCAAAGAAAAUAAGAAUAUUUGAUCACAAGGAUUCUAUGUUUAUAUCAAUGCUAGACUUUGUCAUGUUGAGUGAAUUAAUUUAGAGAAUAUGGUUAUCACAAUUCUUUACAUUGAAGACAUAGCUAUAAAUAAUACGAAGAUAUAAAAUAUUAAAACACUCAUAAAUAACCUGAAUUUUAUAUGAAAUACGUAGUUUUAUACAUCUAAAAGCUAAGCUUGUAUACCAAAGUAAUAAACUAAUUAGAUGAAAACGUCAUUUUCUUGCUUUAACAUAGUGUAAUACACUUCUGAAGGAAUUUUCCAUUUUAUAUUAAAAUGUCAUUUUUAUUUUUCAUACAAAGUAAUAAGAUGGCUUGGAGCCUAGACCUAGCCAACCCCCCUCACCAUAUGAUACAUGCUACUUGUAAUUAUAACAACAUUGUAUUCUAGGGUUUUAUACAUCAUUCAACUUCAAUAUGAGUAACAACAAACCCUAGCCAUAAUCUUCAUUGUAGGAAACCAUCACCAAAUCCUCUCAAGUUAUCCCUAUUUAUAGUAUAUAAUCCACAUGAUAUCACCAUUUUAUCGCAUGAACACUAGGGAGAAACCCUACCCCAAAUCUCCAACUUCAUGGCAUUAAUACAUGCAGAGUUACUUGGCUUCUCAGUUCGCUUUGUAUACUUGGUUUAUAUCCUGCAGCACAAUGCCUUGGCAAGGGAAGGUCUUGCUGCAGUUGAAUAUUGUGGUCCUUUCUGUUGCACUUGUGCCUGUGAUAUUUUUGUAGACUAUGUUUUUUAUUU